This 401-nucleotide ribosomal RNA is filed under the name uncultured bacterium. Its description in RNAcentral is "partial 16S ribosomal RNA". It matches the Rfam family "Bacterial small subunit ribosomal RNA", at positions 360 to 776 of the family's 1533-position model. The record is from RNAcentral.
AAUAUUGCACAAUGGGCGAAAGCCUGAUGCAGCAACGCCGCGUGAGCGAUGAAGGACUUUGGGUCGUAAAGCUCUUUUCUUGGAGAAGAAAAAAAUGACGGUACCCUUGGACGACGACCCGGCUAACUACGUGCCAGCAGCCGCGGUAAUACGUAGGGGGCAAGCGUUAUCCGGAAUUAUUGGGCGUAAAGAGUGCGUAGGUGGUCUUGUAAGCGCGGGGUGAAAGGCAAUAGCUUAACUAUUGUGAGCCCUGCGAACUGUGAGACUUGAGUGCAGGAGAGGAAAGCGGAAUUCCUAGUGUAGCGGUGAAAUGCGUAGAUAUUAGGAGGAACACCAGUGGCGAAGGCGGCUUUCUGGACUGUAACUGACACUGAGGCACGAAAGCGUGGGGAGCAAACAGG